GAAUACUAAACACUGUUGCUUCGGCCCUCAGCCCCUCCGGGAAGCAAGCAGCCGGCGACCACUGAACUUCAUGCCUGAGAGUGAUGCAGUCUGAGUCUGAAUUAUAAAUCAGUCAAAACUUUCAACAAUGGAUCUCUUGGUUCCGGCAUCGAUGAAGAACGCAGCGAACUGCGAUAAGUAAUGUGAAUUGCAGAAUUCAGUGAAUCAUCGAGUCUUUGAACGCACAUUGCGCCCCCUGGCAUUCCGGGGGGCAUGCCUGUCCGAGCGUCAUUGCUGCCCUUCAAGCCCGGCUUGUGUGUUGGGUCGUCGUCCCCCCCGGGGGACGGGCCCGAAAGGCAGCGGCGGCACCGUGUCCGGUCCUCGAGCGUAUGGGGCUUUGUCACCCGCUCGAUUAGGGCCGGCCGGGCGCCAGCCGGCGUCAUCAAUCUAUUUUACCAGGUUGACCUCGGAUCA
Molecule: unclassified non-coding RNA, 453 nt
Filed under: Aspergillus sp. 3 MS-2015
Lineage: Eukaryota; Fungi; Ascomycota; Eurotiomycetes; Eurotiales; Aspergillaceae
Description: sequence contains 18S rRNA gene, ITS1, 5.8S rRNA gene, ITS2, 28S rRNA gene
Rfam family: 5.8S ribosomal RNA (bases 117-270)
Source: RNAcentral